RNAcentral lists this ribosomal RNA (605 nucleotides) under Brevibacterium sp. CMT122. RNAcentral describes it as "bacterial SSU rRNA". It matches the Rfam family "Bacterial small subunit ribosomal RNA", at positions 271 to 885 of the family's 1533-position model. The record is from RNAcentral. Lineage: Bacteria; Bacillati; Actinomycetota; Actinomycetes; Micrococcales; Brevibacteriaceae.
AGACGACGACGGGUAGCCGGCCUGAGAGGGCGACCGGCCACACUGGGACUGAGACACGGCCCAGACUCCUACGGGAGGCAGCAGUGGGGAAUAUUGCACAAUGGGGGAAACCCUGAUGCAGCGACGCAGCGUGCGGGAUGACGGCCUUCGGGUUGUAAACCGCUUUCAGCAGGGAAGAAGCGCAAGUGACGGUACCUGCAGAAGAAGUACCGGCUAACUACGUGCCAGCAGCCGCGGUAAUACGUAGGGURCRAGCGUUGUCCGGAAUUAUUGGGCGUAAAGAGCUCGUAGGYGGUUGGUCACGUCUGCUGUGGAAACGCAACGCUUAACGUUGCGCGUGCAGUGGGUACGGGCUGACUAGAGUGCAGUAGGGGAGWCUGGAAUUCCUGGUGUAGCGGUGAAAUGCGCAGAUAUCAGGAGGAACACCGGUGGCGAAGGCGGGACUCUGGGCUGUAACUGACACUGAGGAGCGAAAGCAUGGGGAGCGAACAGGAUUAGAUACCCUGGUAGUCCAUGCCGUAAACGUUGGGCACUAGGUGUGGGGGGCAUUCCACGUUCUCCGCGCCGUAGCUAACGCAUUAAGUGCCCCGCCUGGGGGAGUACGG